Zingiber officinale is the source of this 649-nucleotide long non-coding RNA. RefSeq lists it as uncharacterized. The transcript has 3 exons. The record is from RefSeq and is a predicted model, not a curated record. Lineage: Eukaryota; Viridiplantae; Streptophyta; Magnoliopsida; Zingiberales; Zingiberaceae.
ACCUAGUUUCGCCAAAAUCACUUGGCAUCUCCUUCGUGUUUCCCUGUGACGGCAACUUCUCCUUCCCGUUUUGCCCGACCGCCUUCUCCUUCGCAUUCCCCCCAAGCUUCUCCUUCGCAUUUUCCCUCGACGACAACCUUCUCCUUCGCGUUUUCCCCCGACAGCAACCUUCUCCUUCACGUUUUCCUCCGACGGCAGCCUUCUCCUUCUCGUUGUUGCCCCGACGGUAGCCUUCUCCUUUGUGUUUUCCCCCAGUGGCAGGCAACCUUCUCAUUUAUCCCCAACGCAAAGGCUUCGCGUUGAGACGCCUUCACUUCCUCUUCUCUCUGCACGGUUAUUCAUGAAAAGCAAAAAUAAUAGACGAUGCAUUAUAAAUAUCAUCACAGACGGUCUCCCAAGUUUGCAGCAUCAAAAAAUAAGCAGUAUUAAAUCAAUCUCAGUAUAAAGAAGUCAGAAGUGAAUGAAGCGAAUACGUCUACUUCUAUGUGGGUGCUUAAUUGUAGGCUAUAAUAUAAACUUUGUAUUGUAUUAAAGAUUUAUGGAUACAAAAACUUUUGGGUUAUGGUUAAACAUGUCUUUUAUAAAUACAUUUUUGGCUUGUAUUUGAUAGAUAUUUGUGAUAUAUUUGUUCAAUUUUGGUGUUGAAAAA